Transfer RNA from Faecalibacterium prausnitzii, 73 nucleotides. It matches the Rfam family "tRNA". Rfam says of the family: Transfer RNA (tRNA) molecules are approximately 80 nucleotides in length. Their secondary structure includes four short double-helical elements and three loops (D, anti-codon, and T loops). The record is from Rfam. NCBI's taxonomy places the organism in Bacteria, Bacillati, Bacillota, Clostridia, Eubacteriales, Oscillospiraceae.
GCUACUGUGGCUCAGCCGGUAGAGCAGCUCACUCGUAAUGAGCAGGUCGUCCGUUCGAAUCGGAUCAGUAGCU